Molecule: long non-coding RNA, 536 nt
Organism: Aethina tumida (small hive beetle)
Lineage: Eukaryota; Metazoa; Arthropoda; Insecta; Coleoptera; Nitidulidae
Exons: 2
Source: RefSeq, a predicted model, not a curated record
UUACUUAAAGGUUAAUACUAUCGAAAUGUGCGUAUUUUUUAUAAUUUCAGUGAGUUCCGCAACAUUUAUGUGAUUUUAAUUAACAUAAUCAAAGAUCUCUAUGCACAUAAUCAACUUUUAAAAUAAUUCAAGGAUAACCAAUUUGUGUGCACUUUUUGCAAAUGUAAAUGAUUAAAUUUUUAUAUAUAAAGGAUAAUAAUUAGAACUAGAAUCAGUUUGUUUUAUACCUCACAGAACAGACAGUUACAUAAAAAUGUUCAAAUCUCUGUUGAUUUUUGCUCUUUUGGCUGUUGCUUUCGUAACAGCUAAACCAGACCCAUCUCCAAUUGUGUACUCAUCUUACUCAUCUGCUGCGUAUCCGUAUGCGUAUUCUGCCCCAUAUGCUGGAUACUCUUUCGCAGGUUUUCCAUACCUUGGCUAUGGUGCUGGACUGUACGGAUAUUAUUAAAUCAACAAAAAGUUACCAAUCUGAAAAUGUUUCCUAUACAUUUGAUUUAUAUUUCAUUGGAUGUUGAAUAAAUACUAUUUGUAAACAA